Long non-coding RNA from Myotis davidii, 612 nucleotides. RefSeq lists it as uncharacterized. The record is from RefSeq and is a predicted model, not a curated record. The transcript has 2 exons. Lineage: Eukaryota; Metazoa; Chordata; Mammalia; Chiroptera; Vespertilionidae.
GAGUUCGCAUGUCACCUCUGACACGCGUGUCAUAGGUUCGCCAUCACUGGCAUAUAAGAAUGAAACUAGCUCCUGAGUGCUGCCAUCAUCCAUCCAAUGUCCCCUUGGCUCAGUGCUGUGCAGCCCUUCCCUUGGGAUAUCCCAUCCCCUACCCCCUCAAUUUUUCUUUAUCCACCAUCUGAGAUGGCUAUUUAGCCUGCCCGUGUGCACCACCCAUGUUAACCUUUUAGUACCCACAUAGGAUGGUCUAAAAUUAAAACUUUUUAACCAAAAACAGGUCCUGGCAGGUAGUCAUAUCCUGGGCCAGGAUCUUUCUGACCAAGAUCAAUCUUUACCUCAACUGAGUCUGUCUGCAUCUAGGAUAACAUAUGUUUGGAAUAUCAGGGUAAUUUCCUUGUUCCAGACCCCCUCAGGGCACAAUCUCCCACCAGAGCAGGGGACCACAGAACCCCUCAUUGUUAUUGUUAUAAUGUUAAUUGUUAACUAUCCUAUACCCACCUACUACAAAGAAGUAUGUGUCUAUUCAUCUUACUUUUUAUUGUCCCAGAGAUUUCUCCACUUUGCCUUCUCCUACUUUGCCUAAUCUAUCACCAAUAAAUUUCAUGUAACCCC